ACCAACCCAUCUCACAGCUGGCAAAUUUCGAUGCAUCAGCAGAUGAUUUGCCUCAUCAUCAAAUCCCCAUUGACAAAUAACCAAUGUAGCGCCAACAUCCUUGCAUUUUUGAACCAUGUCAUCGAAGUACUUCUGUUCCUGUAGUCUCAACGUCUGGAACUUCUCCACUGUAUCAAUAUCAACCUUAUGCUUUGUCUUGGGCUUAGGAGGUUCAAACGGGCAAGUCAAUAUGGCAAUCUUAGCGUCUUCAAUUUGCUUUGGCAUCUGAGGGUGACUCAUGUCCUUGUCAACAAUAAUACCAUAUACAAGUUCAGUAUCUUCUAAUUUUCCCCCUACUUUCCCCUCCACUUUUAUCAGGUCUAAGUUAACGUCCCUUCUUUCAAGAUCUGCCACAGCAACAACUGCUUUAACAGCAAUUUCUGCUAGACUACGCUUACAUCGAUUCACAAUCUUUGAUGAUAAAGUGGUCAUGCAAGUUUGAAUCAAAGGCUCUAAGUUUGUCUCUCCAAAAUCAAACUUUUGUGCAAUAUGCUCCAGAUGGUCGACGGCUAUCCUGGAGGCCAGCUCAUAACCCUCUGCAAUUCGAAUGGGAUGAAUUCCUCGUUCUAAUAAUCGCUCAGCCUGCUCUAAGAGUGCACCAGCCAUUACAACCACCCCAGUGGUGCCAUCACCAAUUUCA
Molecule: unclassified non-coding RNA, 679 nt
Filed under: Hevea brasiliensis (rubber tree)
Lineage: Eukaryota; Viridiplantae; Streptophyta; Magnoliopsida; Malpighiales; Euphorbiaceae
Source: RNAcentral